RNAcentral lists this unclassified non-coding RNA (233 nucleotides) under Hevea brasiliensis (rubber tree). Lineage: Eukaryota; Viridiplantae; Streptophyta; Magnoliopsida; Malpighiales; Euphorbiaceae. The record is from RNAcentral.
AUGAGAUGUGUGCCUCCUUUUCCAGGAUACUGAGGUUCUGGGAAGGUAAAAAACCUGAAAAAGUGGAGGACCUGAUAAUUGAGAGAUAUAUUUUUGUGCUUUGUUGGGAUCUACCCAUCUUGAAAUCCACAUCGGAACAUCUGCAUCUUUGGCUAACUAGUGCUGAAGUUCCUGAACUCUCAAAUGCUGAGCAUUUUGUUUACUUUAGCCAGUCACUUGUGGGUGAAAUGAGG